GUCUGUAUAGCUCAACUGGGAGAGCAACUGCCUUACAAGCAGCGGGUUGGAGGUUCAAGUCCUUCUACAGACA
Molecule: transfer RNA, 73 nt
Filed under: Clostridium porci
Lineage: Bacteria; Bacillati; Bacillota; Clostridia; Eubacteriales; Clostridiaceae
Description: Clostridium sp. WCA-389-WT-23D1 tRNA-Val
Rfam family: tRNA
About the family: Transfer RNA (tRNA) molecules are approximately 80 nucleotides in length. Their secondary structure includes four short double-helical elements and three loops (D, anti-codon, and T loops).
Source: RNAcentral